AGUGAACGCUGGCGGCGUGGAUUAGGCAUGCAAGUCGCGCGAACCCGCAAGGGUUAGCGGCAAACGGGUGAGUAAUAGAUGAACAAUCUGCCCUUAAGUCAGGCAUAGCUUCGUGAAAACGGAGGUAAUUCCUGAUAAGGUCAGCGAAGCGCAUGCUUUGCUGAUUAAAGGUGGGGACCGCAAGGCCUACCACUUAAGGAUGAGUUCGUCUCCUAUCAGCUAGUUGGUGAGGUAACGGCCCACCAAGGCUUAUGACGGGUAGCUGGU
This 267-nucleotide ribosomal RNA is filed under the name uncultured bacterium. Its description in RNAcentral is "partial 16S ribosomal RNA". It matches the Rfam family "Bacterial small subunit ribosomal RNA", at positions 29 to 291 of the family's 1533-position model. The record is from RNAcentral.